Molecule: ribosomal RNA, 254 nt
Filed under: uncultured bacterium
Lineage: Bacteria
Description: partial 16S ribosomal RNA
Rfam family: Bacterial small subunit ribosomal RNA
Source: RNAcentral
UACGGAGGAUGCAAGCGUUGUUCGGAAUCACUGGGCUUAAAGCGCGUGUAGGUGGGCUGUCAGGCGCCAUGGUGAAAUCCCCGGUCUCAACCCGGGAACUGCCUGGCGAACCGACAUUCUUGAGGCAGGUAGAGGUGGCUGGAACGACAGGUGGAGCGGUGAAAUGCGUAGAUAUCUGUUGGAACGCCGGCGGCGAAAGCGAGCCACUGGGCCUGUCCUGACACUGAGACGCGAAAGCGUGGGGAGCAAACAGG